Molecule: long non-coding RNA, 145 nt
Organism: Nanorana parkeri
Lineage: Eukaryota; Metazoa; Chordata; Amphibia; Anura; Dicroglossidae
Exons: 2
Source: RefSeq, a predicted model, not a curated record
CAGUUGACUCGCUAACAAAGUUAGUCCUGAUGAACACACUCUAUUUUAAAGGAAACUGGGAUGUUAAAUUUCCUGAAAAAAACACAGAACAAAAACCAUUCAGGCUGAGCAAGACAAAAACUAAAAUGGUACCAAUGAUGUUUCA